This 997-nucleotide long non-coding RNA is filed under the name Equus asinus (donkey). RNAcentral describes it as "lncRNA (ENSEASG00005031986.1)". Lineage: Eukaryota; Metazoa; Chordata; Mammalia; Perissodactyla; Equidae. The record is from RNAcentral.
CGCUCUCAGUGUGUUGUCAGGGCUGACGUGAGCCCUGAUUUCUCGGAACCGCUGUCCUCUGUCUUGUGGAAGGAGCACAGAAGAGCGGACGGCCCUCUGUGCAGCCCGGGCCCCUGACCUUUGGAGUCACGUGUGUUUCACAGAUCGCGUUCUCGGGACGUUUUCGGUGUUUUACUUCUAGGCCUUUCGACAGGUUUACAAGGAAGGGGCGGCUGCGGUAAUAGCGCCACAGAAGUCUCUGCUGGUUAAUUCCGUCCUUCCUGCAGAAACGGGUGCUGUGCACGUGUAGCUCGCCGGGCGUCGUGUGAGCGCUCGAGGGCUGCAAAGAAGAGCAAGGGCGCCGUCCCUCACGGGGCUGCGGUCUCGGAGGAGCAGCGCUGACAGGGACCUGAGCGAAAGACGGAACGCGGGUCGCGCUCAAGAGGGGAGAGAAGGGCGAGGGGAGCUCCGAGGAGGAGACGUUACUCCAUGCAGGGAGGGGCUGGGGUCAAGGAAACCACGUAAUGAUCGUUAACGCCUGCUGGUGAUCAAGAAUUAGAAACAGUGUAAAAAUUUAUCAGAUCCCUUCAUUCUUUUAAAAUUACCUGCGAAGUUCUUCUCAUGUUCAGAAGACAGCUUUUUACCGUGUUACAAGUAUUGUUCGGGGUGUGGAGAGAUAAAAAAUGAAUAUGAAGAUAUGAAAUCAUCUAUAGAUGGAAUUAUGUCCAUGUUUUAGCUGGACCUUAUCAAUAUUUGAAGUUAUUCUCCCUAAAUUCUAAUCCAGAAGACAAACUCUGGGAUCAUCUAUGAUUUUAAGAGACAAGAAAAUAUACUCCAAAUGUAAAAAAUUAAGAAAGUUAAAGCAACAAGAACAUACACUACACAGUGGCGAUAGGCAAAAUUCCAGCCAAUGUGUGCAUUUAGGAGCAAGAGGAGGAGAUGGAUGUGGGGAGGUGUCCACUUCCUGCUCACGUCAGAAGCACUGGGGAGCUUAGGUCUAAAGCUCUUCUGGGAGAGA